GACGAACCGUGCGAACGUUGUUAGGAAUCACUGGGCUUAAAGGGCGCGUAGGCGGGCUGUCAAGUCUGGGGUGAAAUGUCGCGGCUCAACCGCGGAAUUGCCUCAGAUACUGACGGCCUCGAGGGAGGUAGGGGCGUGUGUAACUGUGAGUGGAGCGGUGAAAUGCGUUGAUAUUCACAGGAACUCCGGUGGCGAAGGCGACACGCUGGACCUUUUCUGACGCUUAGUCGCGAAAGCGAGUGGAGCAAACGGG
This 253-nucleotide ribosomal RNA is filed under the name uncultured bacterium. Its description in RNAcentral is "partial 16S ribosomal RNA". It matches the Rfam family "Bacterial small subunit ribosomal RNA", at positions 524 to 776 of the family's 1533-position model. The record is from RNAcentral.